ACAUGCAAGUCGAACGAGCUUCCGUUGAAUGACGUGCUUGCACUGAUUUUAACAAUGAAGCGAGUGGCGAACUGGUGAGUAACACGUGGGAAAUCUGCCCAGAAGCAGGGGAUAACACUUGGAAACAGGUGCUAAUACCGUAUAACAACAAAAUCCGCAUGGAUUUUGUUUGAAAGGUGGCUUCGGCUAUCACUUCUGGAUGAUCCCGCGGCGUAUUAGUUAGUUGGUGAGGUAAAGGCCCACCAAGACGAUGAUACGUAGCCGACCUGAGAGGGUAAUCGGCCACAUUGGGACUGAGACACGGCCCAAACUCCUACGGGAGGCAGCAGUAGGGAAUCUUCCACAAUGGACGAAAGUCUGAUGGAGCAAUGCCGCGUGAGUGAAGAAGGGUUUCGGCUCGUAAAACUCUGUUGUUAAAGAAGAACACCUUUGAGAGUAACUGUUCAAGGGUUGACGGUAUUUAACCAGAAAGCCACGGCUAACUACGUGCCAGCAGCCGCGGUAAUACGUAGGUGGCAAGCGUUGUCCGGAUUUAUUGGGCGUAAAGCGAGCGCAGGCGGUUUUUUAAGUCUGAUGUGAAAGCCUUCGGCUUAACCGGAGAAGUGCAUCGGAAACUGGGAGACUUGAGUGCAGAAGAGGACAGUGGAACUCCAUGUGUAGCGGUGGAAUGCGUAGAUAUAUGGAAGAACACCAGUGGCGAAGGCGGCUGUCUAGUCUGUAACUGACGCUGAGGCUCGAAAGCAUGGGUAGCGAACAGGAUUAGAUACCCUGGUAGUCCAUGCCGUAAACGAUGAGUGCUAAGUGUUGGAGGGUUUCCGCCCUUCAGUGCUGCAGCUAACGCAUUAAGCACUCCGCCUGGGGAGUACGACCGCAAGGUUGAAACUCAAAGGAAUUGACGGGGGCCCGCACAAGCG
This 914-nucleotide ribosomal RNA is filed under the name Levilactobacillus brevis. RNAcentral's name for it is "bacterial SSU rRNA". It matches the Rfam family "Bacterial small subunit ribosomal RNA", at positions 53 to 931 of the family's 1533-position model. Lineage: Bacteria; Bacillati; Bacillota; Bacilli; Lactobacillales; Lactobacillaceae. The record is from RNAcentral.